UACAGAGGUCUCAAGCGUUGUUCGGAUUCAUUGGGCGUAAAGGGUGCGUAGGUGGCGCGCUAAGUCAGGUGUGAAAUCUCGGGGCUUAACUCCGAAACUGCAUUUGAUACUGGCGUGCUUGAGGACUGGAGAGGAGACUGGAAUUCAUGGUGUAGCAGUGAAAUGCGUAGAGAUCAGGAGGAAGACCAGUGGCGAAGGCGGGUCUCUGGACAGGUCCUGACACUGAGGCACGAAGGCCAGGGGAGCAAACGGG
Molecule: ribosomal RNA, 253 nt
Filed under: uncultured bacterium
Lineage: Bacteria
Description: partial 16S ribosomal RNA
Rfam family: Bacterial small subunit ribosomal RNA
Source: RNAcentral